CGAGAAACACGUACGUCGAAGCGAAAUCAAAAAUCGCAAAAAUCAAAACCCAGUUGAGCGAAAGAGACGAAUGCAAAAUGAAUUUGUGCUACGUGUGCCUCGUUUUGAUGGUUCUCAUCAGCAUUGGACAAAGCAUUCAAAGGAAUGCCAAGAAAAUGAAAGGGAAUUCUGGUCUUUCGAAGUCGAUGCGGAGGAAAAAUAUCAUCAAGUGCUGCGGAUCUAAAACUUGCAGUCCGGCAAAAAGAAGAACUUCUUCAAAGCCACUCGGAAACAACACUUCAACGCCGCUUUCGAAAUUUACUGCAGAAAUGAUUACUACAGCUCAAAAUCCUGGAGAGACUAUUUCCGUGGCUGUUGGCACAGAAAAUGGAGAAGUGAUCGUUUCGACCUUUUUGUCCUCAGAUAGUUCUUCUCCCACGACGAUAAUCCCGCAAAAUUCAGAAACACUUUCUAAUUUAAUUGAAGAAACGGCACCAACA
This is a long non-coding RNA of Cloeon dipterum, 479 nucleotides long. RefSeq lists it as uncharacterized. The transcript has 4 exons. NCBI's taxonomy places the organism in Eukaryota, Metazoa, Arthropoda, Insecta, Ephemeroptera, Baetidae. The record is from RefSeq and is a predicted model, not a curated record.